GAAUAUAAACUUAAUGUGUGUGCUCUCCCUCUGCCCGGUUAGCCGGUGCGGGGGAGUUGUGCCAUGUCUUAACAAUAAACGACUCUCGGCAACGGAUAUCUCGGCUCUCGCAUCGAUGAAGAACGUAGCGAAAUGCGAUACUUGGUGUGAAUUGCAGAAUCCCGUGAACCAUCGAGUUUUUGAACGCAAGUUGCGCCCGAAGCCUUUGGCUGAGGGCACGUCUGCCUGGGCGUCACGCAUCGCGUCUCCCCCAAACCCACCUCGAGUGGAGGGGAAGGACGAUGGCUUCCCGCGUCUCACCGGACGCGGUUGGCCUAAAAUUGGAGCCCUCGGCAUAGGGAUGCCGCGGCGAUAGGUGGUGAACAUGGCCCCGGCCAAGCAAGCAACCCGUCGCGCGUCGCUGUGCCAUUGCGAGCUCGAAGGACCCUUUGACGUUGCCUCGUUGCAACCAAACCGUUGCG
RNAcentral lists this ribosomal RNA (461 nucleotides) under Atocion rupestre. RNAcentral's name for it is "eukaryotic LSU rRNA". The stretch from base 81 to 235 matches the Rfam family "5.8S ribosomal RNA". Lineage: Eukaryota; Viridiplantae; Streptophyta; Magnoliopsida; Caryophyllales; Caryophyllaceae. The record is from RNAcentral.